Long non-coding RNA from Phragmites australis (common reed), 337 nucleotides. RefSeq lists it as uncharacterized. The record is from RefSeq and is a predicted model, not a curated record. The transcript is spliced from 3 exons. NCBI's taxonomy places the organism in Eukaryota, Viridiplantae, Streptophyta, Magnoliopsida, Poales, Poaceae.
GCCAAGAGCAAAAGAACACAGCAGGAGCUCCCUUUCCCUCUCUCAAACCCUCUCAUUCUCCACCUAAAAUCUCACUCAAGAACAAGGAUUUAAGGUUUGGAGGUUUUCCAAUUCAAAUUCGUCACCUCCCUUUUCUCUGAAUUUUCAACAGCUGAGUCAUCCUCUCCGCCGAGCUUUUCCUACGAUUUCUUCUUCACCAAAGGUCAGAAACUCAGGCAAGGGACUUCGGUGAAUGAAGGACUGAAGGAUGACGCGAGCGUGAUCGAGGGUGAUCCGAAAGGUGUUUCCCUUGCUUGUGAAUGUGAUUAACAAGGCAAGCAUCUAAGAAUUUUUAUCC